UGCAGUCGAGCGGACCAGAGGAGCUUGCUCCUUCUGGUUUARCGGCGGACGGGUGASUAACACGUGGGCAACCUGCCCUGCARAUCRGGAUAACUCCGGGAAACCGGUGCUAAUACCGAAWAKUUUGCGGCCUCUCCUGASGCUGCACGGAAARACGGUUUCGGCUGUCACUGCMSGAUGGGCCCGCGGCGCAUUAGCUAGUUGGWGGGGUAAUGGCCUACCAMGGCGACKAUGCSUAGCCSACCUGASAGGGUGAUCGGCCMCACUGGGACUGAKACACGGCCCASACUCCUACGGGAGGCASCWGUAGGGAAUCUUCCGCAAUGGACRAAAGUCUGACGGASCAACGCCGCGUGAGUGACKAASGUUUUCSGAUCGUAAAACUCUGUUGUGAGGGAAGAACAAGUACCAACUAACUACUGGUACCUUGACGGUACCUCACCAKAAAGCCACGGCUAACUACGUGCCASCARCCGCGGUAAUACGUAKGUGGCAAGCGUUGUCCGGAAUUAUUGGGCGUAAAGCGCGCGCARGCGGUUCUUUAAGUCUGAUGUGAAAGCCCACGGCUCAACCGUGGAGGGUCAUUGRAAACUGGAGAACUUGAGUGCAGAAGAGGAAAGUGGAAUUCCAUGUGUARCGGUGAAAUGCGUAGAGAUGUGGAGGAACACCAGUGGMGAAGGCGACUUUCUGGUCUGUAACUGACGYUGAGGCGCGAAAGCGUGGGGAGCAAMCAGGAUUAGAUACCYUGGUAGUCCACGCSGUAAACGAUGAGUGYUAAGUKUUAGGGGGUUUCCGCCCSUUAGUGCWGCAGMUAMCGCAUUMAGCACUCCGCCUGGGGAGUACGGCCGCAAGGCUGAAACUCAAAGGAAUUGACGGGGGCCCGCACAAGCGGUGGAGCAUGUGGUUUAAUUMGAAGCAACGCGAAGAACCUUACCAGGUCUUGACAUCCCACUGACCGGUGUAGAGAUACACUUUUCCCUUSGGGGACAGUGGUGMCAGGUGGUGCAUGGUKGUSGUCAGYUSGUGUCGUGAGAUGUUGGGUUAAGUCCCGCAACGAGCGCAACCCUUGAUYUUAGUUGCCAGCAUUCAGUUGGSCAYUYUAAGGUGACUGCCGGUGWCAAACCGGAGGAAGGUGGGGAUGACGUCAAAUCAUCAUGCCCCUUAUGRCCUGGGCUACACACGUGCUACAAUGGWCGGUACAAAGGGUUGCCAACCCGCGAGGGGGAGCCAAUCCCAUAAAACCG
This 1244-nucleotide ribosomal RNA is filed under the name Planococcus halocryophilus. Its description in RNAcentral is "partial 16S ribosomal RNA". Lineage: Bacteria; Bacillati; Bacillota; Bacilli; Caryophanales; Caryophanaceae. The record is from RNAcentral.